AACAUCAUCACUCCCAUUUCACCCAGCGAUGAUCGCCUGUCAAGUUCUUGCUUCGUGAUCUUUCUGCCAUUUGGAUGGAAGUUUCUUUUGGCCCAAUAUCGAAUGCCAAUCCAAUGCAUGAGCGGCUUUCUGGAUGAGAUGCGACAUGAUUCAACGACUGUUUCUGAAAACAAGCCAGCUUAUUGUGCUAACUAAUCUGCGUACAGUAGUCCUUGGGAUGGAGGAUAGUGGCAUUUAAGGGAUUUUGUAGAUUAUAAGCUUCCAUCGAAAGAGCCUAAGGACUCGCUCCUGGGUUCACUGUACAGGCCCACAUGAUCCGAGUACAUCGCUAUUUCCCCUCCGCAUCCGCAUCCCCCUUCGCUUACCGCACGUCCUUUAUGGCAAAGUUAAACUUUUCAAGGUUAAGUCUUUGGCUGGCGUCGCCGGCGAGCAAUGACACUUGGGCAUGGGCAGAACGGGCCCGCGGGGGAAGGGACACGGAUAGGGACCAGAAGCAACAUCCAAUUCCACGUCCACAUCAUCGCUAUCGAACACCCUCUCGCACACUCACGCACACACACACAAACACGCCCAGCAGUUCGCAGUUCGUUCACUUGCCGGGAACCCUGCCUCCUCGUUGUGCUCUUCGUCCUCCAUCGGAAUCUACCCUCCAUCCUCUUGGAACCGUCUAGCAGCUACCAUAUACCUCGUACCGUCUGCCGUCUGCCGCAAUUCCUGCGCGACCAACCGUGGCACUGUGGUUCGAAGUCUACAGUUUAAGGAUCAAAGUCACAAACAAAGUACUAUUAAAUUAAUAUUGUUAAUUGCUUAAAAAACAAGAGUUUACUAAGCACACAACUUUAAAUUUGUAUAGUGGCUUACCAGUCGUAUACUUAAUAUCUAUAUUCAUACAUUCUUCUUAAAUUGGGAGAAUUCACCACGAUUGGAAUAUAUAUUUAAUUAAAAGCUCGAUCGACGACCACUGUGGCUAUGACACCCUUUAAAUAUCUGUUAACCCAGCUCUUCCCCCCUGAUAAUUUUCUGCCCGUCUGGAUGUUAUUGCUCACGUUCUCAUUCUCUCAGGUGCACGCUACGCUCCAGUGGUGCAGCCAUUCCGCCCUUCUGUGCACUCUACACUCUCAGCCAGGACAAAAAGUUGCAGCUUGAACAGUGUGCACUUAG
This is a non-coding RNA of Drosophila melanogaster (fruit fly), 1161 nucleotides long. Lineage: Eukaryota; Metazoa; Arthropoda; Insecta; Diptera; Drosophilidae. The record is from Ensembl.